RNAcentral lists this ribosomal RNA (512 nucleotides) under uncultured bacterium. RNAcentral's name for it is "partial 16S ribosomal RNA". It matches the Rfam family "Bacterial small subunit ribosomal RNA", at positions 28 to 507 of the family's 1533-position model. The record is from RNAcentral.
GAUGAACGCUGGCGGCGUGCCUAAUACAUGCAAGUCGAACGAAACUUCUUUAUCACCGAGUGCUUGCACUCACCGAUAAAGAGUUGAGUGGCGAACGGGUGAGUAACACGUGGGCAACCUGCCCCAAAGAGGGGGAUAACACUUGGAAACAGGUUCUAAUACCGCAUAACCAUAGUUACCGCAUGGUAACUAUGUAAAAGGUUGCUAUACUACCGCUUUUGGAUGGGCUCGCGGCGCAUUAGCUAGUUUGUAGGGUAAAGGCUUACCAAGGCAAUGAUGCGUAGCCGAAUUGAGAGGUUGAUCGGCCACAUUGGGACUGAGACACGGCCCAAACUCCUACGGGAGGCAGCAGUAGGGAAUCUUCCACAAUGGGCGAAAGCCUGAUGGAGCAACGCCGCGUGGGUGAAGAAGGUCUUCGGAUCGUAAAACCCUGUUGUUAGAGAAGAAAGUGCGUGAGAGUAACUGUUCACGUUUCGACGGUAUCUAAUCAGAAAGCCACUGCUAACUACGUG